AGUAUUUGAAAUGUCACAAUUAGGAAUGCAAGCAGUUUUAAAUCCCAGUGAGAUGUUUUUAAGUGAGGAGUAUUCAGGCUCAUAUGUUUUAGCGGUGGUUGUUGCAGUUACUAUGGAUGGAUCUCAAAGUUUUCUUGUAGAGAUUCAGGUAGCUUUUCUAUAGUUUGAUGACAUUAUUUUUCCAUGUUGGAGAUUCUGAUUUACAUUUUGAAAUGACAAUGUCUAACUGGGAGCUUUUUUCAUUUUCAUUUAUAUUUUAUAUUCUCCCGCUUCCUUUGUAAUCAGACAGUGAUGAGGUUAUUACACCUGAAAAUUUUACCCUUUAUUUAUUUUCCCUGUUUAAAUAAAGUAAUACGACAAUAAUAAUUUCCACUUGUGAAAGUGAAUUUAUGUCUUGUCUGUUAAGAGUGCUGCUGGGGAACUUCUUAAAGAGAAAUAAGAUACUCGUUCUUGCUAGAAAAACAGAAGCAAGCACUCUCAAAGUGGUAACGGAAGUUAGCUGAUAACUUAGGCUCCAUUUGGUUGGGGAUAAUGGAAUGCAAUCAAGAGAGGCCAUCGUUCGACCACAACAGCCCGUGCAACUGGAGUCUUCCUCUCUUCUCCGGUGACUAGUUUCUUUCUUAUUACUAGGCACAAAAAAACCUUGAAAACAACACCUCAGGUGCACUACAUAUUCCCCAGGACUGGCUAGUGAUGGGUGGAAUUCUCAGCUGUAGUAGUGGACAAAAUGUGCCAUACAUUGGAAAGUCCAAGAAAUCCUCAAUGCCUUCUGGAUAGGUCAAAAAUUUGAAUGCUGGAGACUUGUUUUUGCUCCCAUAACUGAUUCUGCUUCAAAUCAUGGCCUAAUCCCAACAAUUCUCUAUGGGUGAGCAAUUUUGACAGAGAAUAAAAAGCUUCAGCAUUCAAAUUUUGAAAAAUCUUCAGAAGACAAGCAUGAUGUUGGUGCAAAUGGCAGUUUGGUAGCCCUUGUUGCAGAAAGGUGCACACAAGACGCAACUUGUCAUGCUCCCUGUCACCUGGCAAGUCUAGAAGUAGAAGAAGUUAAGCAAAUGGACUCACAACAAAGACAAGUGCACAAAAGAUGAUGAAUUGAAGAAUGGAGCAAGUUUCAUGCAUGGUUUACUUUUGUGUAUCUUGUAAUGUUUCUGUUUUUCAUUUUUGAAGUAAAAAAUGUUCAAGAUUAUAGAACUUUAUUAUGUUAUGCUUUCAAACUUAAGUUAGA
This is a long non-coding RNA of Humulus lupulus (European hop), 1222 nucleotides long. RefSeq lists it as uncharacterized. The transcript has 5 exons. The record is from RefSeq and is a predicted model, not a curated record. NCBI's taxonomy places the organism in Eukaryota, Viridiplantae, Streptophyta, Magnoliopsida, Rosales, Cannabaceae.